GACGCUGAGAGGCGAAAGCUAGGGGACCGCACAGGAUUAGAGACCCUGGUAGUCCUAGCUGUAAACGCUGGAUGAUAGGUAUGGGCCAGACCGGUCCAUGCCGGAGUUAACGCGAUAAGCAUCCCGCCUGGGGAGUACGGCCGCAAGGCUUAUACUCGAACGAAUCGACGGGGACCCGCACAAGCAGCGGAGCGUGUGGUUUAAUUCGAUGGUACACGCAGAACCGGACAUGGGCGUGACAUGUAGGUGGUAGUGAAGUGAAAGAGGAGCGACCCUUCGGGGAGCUUACACAGGUGCUGCAUGGCUGUCGUCAGCUCGUGCCGUGAGGUGUCGGGUUAAGUCCCGUAUCGAGCAGCAACCCUUGUCCUUAGUUACAAGUGUCUAAGGAGACUACACGCUGACAAACCGGAGGAAGGUGGGGAUUACCUCAAGUCAGCCAUGGCCACUUAUGUCACAGGGCGACUACACAACGCUCCAAUGGUCGGUACACAAGGGCAGCGCAGCCCCGAGCUGAAGCGAAUCACCAACCAAAGCCGAUCACCAGUUCGGAUUGCAGCCUGCAACCCGCCUGCAUGAAGCCGGAGUUGCUAGUAACCGCGCGUCAGCCAUACGUGCGGUGUAUACGUUCCCGGGUCUGUACACACCGCCCGUCACA
RNAcentral lists this ribosomal RNA (655 nucleotides) under uncultured organism. RNAcentral describes it as "bacterial SSU rRNA". It matches the Rfam family "Bacterial small subunit ribosomal RNA", at positions 742 to 1401 of the family's 1533-position model. The record is from RNAcentral.